UGUCUGUUUCUUGGUUCAUACAUCGUUGCUAAUAUAAUGAAAUUUUAUGCGACUGUUAUACAAGUGAGAUGUUUAGUUAGCUAUAACACCAGGUUUAAUUCACCUUUUUCUACGUGAGGAAAUGCCUGCAUCUAGUCAGGAAUAUAUGACAGUUGUUAUCCAUACGUUUGAUGUGCUUGAUCUUUGAUUUUGACAUUUGAUUACAGACUUUCCGUUUUGAAUUUUCU
RNAcentral lists this long non-coding RNA (227 nucleotides) under Mytilus galloprovincialis (Mediterranean mussel). The record is from RNAcentral. Lineage: Eukaryota; Metazoa; Mollusca; Bivalvia; Mytilida; Mytilidae.